CCUACUUGUGUCCGCCGUUAUGAAUAUUGUUCCCUGGACGGCCGUCUGAACCAGCCAUGCCGCGUGCAGGAAGACGGCUCUAUGAGUUGUAAACUGCUUUUGUACAAGGGUAAACCUGAAUACGUGUAUUCAGCUGAAAGUACUGUACGAAUAAGGAUCGGCUAACUCCGUGCCAGCAGCCGCGGUAAUACGGAGGAUCCAAGCGUUAUCCGGAUUUAUUGGGUUUAAAGGGUGCGUAGGCGGAUUGAUAAGUUAGAGGUGAAAUGUCCGAGCUUAACUCGGGAACUGCCUCUAAUACUGUUGAUCUAGAGAGUAGAUGCGGUAGGCGGAAUGUAUGGUGUAGCGGUGAAAUGCUUAGAGAUCAUACAGAACACCGAUUGCGAAGGCAGCUUACCAAUCUAUAUCUGACGUUGAGGCACGAAAGCGUGGGGAGCAAACAGGAUUAGAUACCCCGGUAGUC
RNAcentral lists this ribosomal RNA (460 nucleotides) under uncultured bacterium. RNAcentral describes it as "partial 16S ribosomal RNA". It matches the Rfam family "Bacterial small subunit ribosomal RNA", at positions 338 to 795 of the family's 1533-position model. The record is from RNAcentral.